CGGACUGACUUAGAAAGAGCAAGGUGAGGGCGUUAGACACCGGACUGACGUAGAAAGAGCAAGGUGAGGGCGUUAGACACCGGACUGACGUAGAAAGAGCAAGGUGAGGGCGUUAGACACCGGACUGACUUAGAAAGAGCAGGUGAGGGCGUUAGACACUGGACUGACGUAGUGAGGGCGUUAGACACCGGGCUGACGUAGAAAGAGCAAGGUGAGGGCGUUAGACACCGGACUGACGUAGAAAGAGCAAGGUGAGGGCGUUAGACACCGGACUGACUUAGAAAGAGCAGGUGAGGGCGUUAGACACUGGACUGACGUAGUGAGGGCGUUAGACACUGGACUGACGUAGAAAGAGCAAGGUGAGGGCGUUAGACACUGGACUGAUGUAGAAGGAGCAAGGUGAGGGCGUUAGACACCGGGCUGAUGUAGAAAGAGCAAGGUGAGGGCGUUAGACACCGGACUGACGUAGAAGGAGCAAGGUGAGGGCGUUAGACACCGGACUGACGUAGAAGGAGCAAGGUGAGGGCGUUAGACACCGGACUGACUUAGAAAGAGCAAGGUGAGGGCGUUAGACACCGGACUGACGUAGAAAGAGCAAGGUGAGGGCGUUAGACACUGGACUGAUGUAGAAGGAGCAAGGUGAGGGCGUUAGACACCGGACUGAUGUAGAAGGAGCAAGGUGAGGGCGUUAGACACUGGACUGAUGUAGAAGGAGCAAGGUGAGGGCGUUAGACACCGGACUGAUGUAGAAGGAGCAAGGUGAGGGCGUUAGACACUGGACUGAUGUAGA
Notothenia coriiceps (black rockcod) is the source of this 790-nucleotide long non-coding RNA. RefSeq lists it as uncharacterized. NCBI's taxonomy places the organism in Eukaryota, Metazoa, Chordata, Actinopteri, Perciformes, Nototheniidae. The record is from RefSeq and is a predicted model, not a curated record. The transcript has 3 exons.